Molecule: ribosomal RNA, 480 nt
Filed under: Blastocystis sp.
Lineage: Eukaryota; Bigyra; Opalinata; Blastocystidae
Description: SSU rRNA
Rfam family: Eukaryotic small subunit ribosomal RNA
Source: RNAcentral
GGAGGUAGUGACAAUAAAUCACAAUGCGGAACUUCUGUUUUGCAAUUGGAUUGAGAACAACGCACAACAUUUAUCGAUAAACAAUUGGAGGGUAAGUCUGGUGCCAGCAGCCGCGGUAAUUCCAGCUCCAAUAGCGUAUAUUAGCGUUGUUGCAGUUAAAAAGCUCGUAGUUGAAGUGAAGUGUGAAUCUCUUGGAUUUUCGUUUGAAUUUCCUUUAGCUUCAUACUCUUUCCAAAUAGUUUGCAUGGGUAUUUACUUAUCUGUGUAUUGCAUUUGGUCAUUUACUGUGAGAAAAUUAGAGUGUUCAAAGCAUACGUUUGUUUGAAUACAUUAGCAUGGAAUAAUUCGAAAAGGCUUUCAUGUUCGAUUUGAUUGGUUUGUUCGUGAAGGCAAGAUUAAAAGGGACAGUUGGGGGUAUUCAUAUUCAAUAGUCAGAGGUGAAAUUCUCGGAUUUAUGGAAGAUGAACAAGUGCGAAAGCA